RNAcentral lists this transfer RNA (77 nucleotides) under Acidocella sp. 20-61-6. RNAcentral describes it as "tRNA-Pro". It matches the Rfam family "tRNA". Rfam says of the family: Transfer RNA (tRNA) molecules are approximately 80 nucleotides in length. Their secondary structure includes four short double-helical elements and three loops (D, anti-codon, and T loops). Further hydrogen bonds mediate the characteristic L-shaped molecular structure. tRNAs have two regions of fundamental functional importance: the anti-codon, which is responsible for specific mRNA codon recognition, and the 3' end, to which the tRNAs corresponding amino acid is attached (by aminoacyl-tRNA synthetases). tRNAs cope with the degeneracy of the genetic code in two manners: having more than one tRNA (with a specific anti-codon) for a particular amino acid; and 'wobble' base-pairing, i.e. permitting non-standard base-pairing at the 3rd anti-codon position. The record is from RNAcentral. Lineage: Bacteria; Pseudomonadati; Pseudomonadota; Alphaproteobacteria; Acetobacterales; Acidocellaceae.
CGGAGCGUAGCGCAGCCUGGUAGCGCACCAGUCUGGGGGACUGGGGGCCGUGGGUUCGAAUCCCGCCGCUCCGACGA